Molecule: long non-coding RNA, 1372 nt
Filed under: Homo sapiens (human)
Lineage: Eukaryota; Metazoa; Chordata; Mammalia; Primates; Hominidae
Description: HSALNT0112988
Source: RNAcentral
CUGCCGGUUCCCGUGACCCCGGAAAUCCCGCUCCUGCCGCGAGGCGCCCUCCGCUUCGCGCUCCCUCGUGUCACGAGGGAGCCAGGGUGGGCGGUCUCCUAUUGUACUUGGCUUUUGAAUUUUCGCUUUUGCAGCACAAAGGUCUCUCCUGCCACCUUGUGAAGAAGGCAUCUGCUUCCCCUUCACCUUUCUCCAUGAUCGUAAGCUUCCUAAGGCCUCCAAAGCCAUGCAGAACUGGAGUCACCUAAGUGGCAAGUGCAGAAAGGAAGAAGUCCUGGAAGAAGGAAGUGGAGUGGACACUUGCUGAAAGAAAUCUUAACUCUAGUAUCUUCCCAGUGCAGUUCCUAUUUUGGGUUUCAACUCCCCCAGAGGAGUCCUUUUAGUGCAGCUCCUGACUGCCCGAUUCCACCGGACUUCUCUCAGUAGACAGACUGAAGGGCAGAUCAAAGGCUAGAGCCUGCGCUCUGCCACGCCCUUGCUUCUGCCCAGAAGGGAGCCUUCUUCUCAUCACCUCUUGAAGAGCCACCUUUGCUCCCAGGAGAGCACACUUAGCUCGUUUGCUGCCAGGCCCUCCACACACUCUGCACUCUUUAGAGCCACCUGCCAGUUCUCUCCCUUCUGAGACCCUAGUAUUUUGUGGUUAGCGCUACGAAACUGUGUCCCUAAGGCUCCUUGCCAGUCGCCACUGAAGACUUCUCAGCCUAAAGAGCCCUUGGCCAAAGUCCCCACCCACCGCCCCUGCCGCGCGCCAUUGAGCCCCCGCGCCGCAGACCUUGAGGUCCUGCUCCAGGCUGCGCAACAGCUCCCCGUCGAUUUCCCCGGUCUGGGCGUAGCGGAGCCUUUUGCGCUCGGCUUUGCGGAGGCGGUACUGCAGGAUCCGGCAGUUUUUGUUGGCUCUCUCCAACUCGUGGCGCAUUUCCUGCAGUUGACAGGCAUCCUCCUCGAAGAAAGUGUCCCUCAUCUCGUCCAUCUCGGUUCUCAGCUCAUCGAUCUCGUUCUGAGGCGGUGACAGGCCGCGUGUCAAAAUCAAACUCGCUUCCAGCCCUUCCGACACACACCGUACACACCCCAUUCCAAUUCCAAAUUCUCAGCUUUAAUUGCCCUCUCUCUCCACGAGACAGGAGUGACAAGGAGCUGAGUACAGAAGAGGAAACUGGGGGAAAAAGGCCCACUUUAGGCCCUCUCUCGUUCUCUUACUCUACCUCUCUCCAGGAAGAAGUGUGACAAACCAUUAUAAUUAGAGAAACGGAGGCCCAGAUUUGAAUUUAAAUGAAAACCUCGCGUUACUGAGAGCAGAUUCAAAUUCCGGCAAGGCCUAGGAAACCCCCUCCCUCCUUUCUUGUUCUCCUCCCUCUUCAAGGCUCCCUAACAG